UACGGAGGAUGCGAGCGUUAUCCGGAUUUAUUGGGUUUAAAGGGUGCGUAGGCGGACGCUUAAGUCAGCGGUAAAAUUGCGGGGCUCAACCUCGUCGAGCCGUUGAAACUGGGUGUCUUGAGUGGGCGAGAAGUACGCGGAAUGCGUGGUGUAGCGGUGAAAUGCAUAGAUAUCACGCAGAACUCCGAUUGCGAAGGCAGCGUACCGGCGCCCUACUGACGCUGAAGCACGAAGGCGUGGGUAUCGAACAGG
This 252-nucleotide ribosomal RNA is filed under the name uncultured bacterium. RNAcentral describes it as "partial 16S ribosomal RNA". It matches the Rfam family "Bacterial small subunit ribosomal RNA", at positions 524 to 776 of the family's 1533-position model. The record is from RNAcentral.